AAGCAACGCGAAGAACCUUACCAGAUCUUGACAUCCAAUUGACCAUCUUUUAAUUCGUAGAUUUUGCCUUCGGGUACAAUUGAGACAGGUGGUGCAUGGUUGUCGUCAGCUCGUGUCGUGAGAUGUUGGGUUAAGUCCCGCAACGAGCGCAACCCUUGUGUUUAGUUGCAAACAGGUCAAGCUGUGCACUCUAGACAGACUGCCGUGGACAACACGGAGGAAGGUGGGGAUGACGUCAAAUCAUCAUGCCCCUUAUGAUCUGGGCUACACACGUGCUACAAUGGCCGGUACAACGGGCAGCGAAGGAGCGAUCCGGAGCGAAUCCUAAAAAGCCGGUCCCAGUUCGGAUUGCAGGCUGAAACUCGCCUACAUGAAGUUGGAGUUGCUAGUAAUCGCGAAUCAGAAUGUCGCGGUGAAUGCGUUCCCGGGUCUU
Molecule: ribosomal RNA, 433 nt
Filed under: uncultured Fusibacter sp.
Lineage: Bacteria; Bacillati; Bacillota; Clostridia; Eubacteriales; Fusibacteraceae
Description: bacterial SSU rRNA
Rfam family: Bacterial small subunit ribosomal RNA
Source: RNAcentral